This 295-nucleotide long non-coding RNA is filed under the name Solanum tuberosum (potato). Its description in RNAcentral is "long non-coding RNA (STUB_LNC010652)". Lineage: Eukaryota; Viridiplantae; Streptophyta; Magnoliopsida; Solanales; Solanaceae. The record is from RNAcentral.
AUAUAGCAAACAAAAAAAUCAUAUUUGUAUGCUAUAGCAAAGUUUGCAUAAUUGUGCUCCAUAGCAAACAUAUAUAUGUAUAAUUCGCUAUACAUAUAUACAAAAAGAAGCAAUUGUAUAAUUCGUUGGCUCCUCUUCAAAAUUGUAUAAUUUCGCUGGCAGGUCAUUUGUAUAAAUUGUUGUUAGUCUCUCGUUUGUAUAAAUCGUUGACAAACAUAAAUUAUACAUUAUACAAGCAUAAAACUGGGCAGGGGAAUAUUUUUAUUGUAUAAUUAUAAGUGUAUAGGACGAAUAU